Molecule: unclassified non-coding RNA, 1487 nt
Filed under: Hevea brasiliensis (rubber tree)
Lineage: Eukaryota; Viridiplantae; Streptophyta; Magnoliopsida; Malpighiales; Euphorbiaceae
Source: RNAcentral
UUAACCUCCUACCAAACACCAUUAACUAUUACACUAACAUUACCGCACUAAAGAUUAUUGUGGAAUUAUCAAUCUAAAAAUUUUCUUACAGCAUUAUAAUCUUAGAUGCUAACCUUAUCUAGAAUGGAGGAAACAAACUAUCUCAGCCAAACCAAUAUCCCUUAAUAUUUGUAUCUGACUCUCUCUCUUGAAGACAAGAAUAGAAGCCAAAAACCACCCUUUGGUGCCUCAGACAACGGCCAAGGAAUAGUUAGAACUGAAAAAUAAUUGGCCUCCUUGUGCCAAACUAAGAUCCAUAAAUAUUUACAAUCUUGCAUAUCAUCCACAGGAAGUUUCAAGUUGUGCACUAGAAAAAAACAUUGACCUUUGAACCUUAAUAACAUACAACAAAUCCUAAAACUACUGCUUCUGAUUGUAAUUUCGUGCUAACAGAUUGCCUUGGUAAAUUUACCAUAAGAUAGGACAAAUAGAGACUGAUGUAUAUAUAUGUGCAAAUAUAAAUGCCCAAAGCUGGAGAAGGUGAAGCACUUACAUUUGACCAAGAUUAGCAAAAUCAAUAUCAGGAGCAAGCUCUUGCACAAUAUCAUUAGGCGGUUGGCCACAUUCUUGCAUUUUCUGCAUGAGAUCAAAAAUCUUGGUAAAAUUGUUAGGUUCAUUCUCAUAAACUUCAUUAAGGUGGUUGAUGAGUUCAUAUUGAUGAGAGUAACGCUCAUAUUCUUCUGCAGUCAAACCAGCUUUGUGCUCUUCCAGCCAUUUUGGAUAUCUUUCUCCAAUUUCCUUCAUGGGUUCAUGAAGAAUAUCCUUCGACAAAAGUUGUUGCAUCAUGGUCUCUACAAUUGAUUCCAUGUCCUGAGAGCCAGCAAGCUCCUCAAACUGCUUAACCCAAUCCUCCAUCAUUGCAUCCUUACUAAAAUCAUCUGGUUUCGGACCUGUGACAGACUCCAAUCCCUUAACAGCCUCCCUAGUCUGCUCCCUAAGCUGAUCAAGCGCCUCUGCAACAUGGGACUCCUUUUUAACCUUUUUCUUUCCCUUUUUCUUGCUUUUCAAGUCAGGUAAUCCCAUAACCAACCCUUGAAUCCCCGUUGGCAAUGAAGGAGAUGAUUCUUGUUGCUUGCUAUCCUCAUUACCAUCCCUUCCUCCGCUUCUUUGAGAGGAAGGAGCGAGGUUGAGACCCUGGAAAUCAUCAAGGGCACUGUCAAGGAGUUCAUCUAAAUCGUCGUGGUGGUGAUCAGCCAUGAUUGAACCAGUCUCUGUUCCUCUUUCUGAGCUCUGAAGAAUAAAGGGUAUGUAUUAUGGAAAGAGUUGGAUUGAGAAAAGAAGGAAAUUGAAGUGAGCGUGAGAGAGAAGGCAAAUAGCAGCGCAAACGGCGAAGUUUUGAUGUUAAUAGGCGGUGGCGGUACAACCCAUCGAAUAGCGAUCCAAUCAUUCUGAGUUGUGACUCGGUGAAGAGUAGCCUUUGACUCUUUCAGUUUGGAUCAGAUUGGAAC